GCAAGUCGACUGGAAUUCUUCUUCGGAAGAUAGUACGGUGGCGGACGGGUGAGUAACGCGUAGGAAUCUACCUAUCUGUGGGGGAUACCGUUUGGAAACGAACGUUAAUACCGCAUAAUAUCUUCGGAUUAAAAGUGGCACUUGUGCUGCUGCGGAUAGAUGAGCCUGCGUUAGAUUAGCUUGUUGGUCGGGUAAAGGCCUACCAAGGCUGCGAUCUAUAGCUGAUUUGAGAGGAUGAUC
Molecule: ribosomal RNA, 240 nt
Filed under: uncultured bacterium
Lineage: Bacteria
Description: partial 16S ribosomal RNA
Rfam family: Bacterial small subunit ribosomal RNA
Source: RNAcentral